This 42-nucleotide small RNA is filed under the name Propionibacterium australiense. Its description in RNAcentral is "CRISPR_Spacer". Lineage: Bacteria; Bacillati; Actinomycetota; Actinomycetes; Propionibacteriales; Propionibacteriaceae. The record is from RNAcentral.
GAAUACCGAGAUCGAGGUCAUCGACGGGGACCGCCGCACCAA